This 255-nucleotide ribosomal RNA is filed under the name uncultured bacterium. RNAcentral describes it as "partial 16S ribosomal RNA". It matches the Rfam family "Bacterial small subunit ribosomal RNA", at positions 524 to 776 of the family's 1533-position model. The record is from RNAcentral.
UACGGGGGAGCAAGCGUUGUUCGGAUUUACUGGGCGUAAAGGGCGCGUAGGCGGCGUGACAAGUCACUUGUGAAAUCUCCGGGCUUAACUCGGAACGGUCAAGUGAUACUGUCGUGCUUAGAGUACAGAAGGGGGCAACUGGAAUUCUCGGUGUAGCGGUGAAAUGCGUAGAUAUCGAGAGGAACACCUGCGGCGAAGGCGGGAUUGCUGGGCUGAUACUGACGCUGAGGAGCGAAAGUGUGGGGAGCGAACAGG